Molecule: ribosomal RNA, 326 nt
Filed under: uncultured eukaryote
Lineage: Eukaryota
Description: partial 18S ribosomal RNA
Rfam family: Eukaryotic small subunit ribosomal RNA
Source: RNAcentral
CCCUUAGAUGUUCUGGGCCGCACGCGCGCUACACUGAUGCAUUCAACGAGUUCCUACCUUGGCCGAGAGGCCUGGGCAAUCUUUUGAACUUACAUCGUGAUAGGGAUAGAUUAUUGCAAUUAUUAAUCUUGAACGAGGAAUUCCUAGUAAACGCAGAUCAUCAAUCUGCAUUGAUUACGUCCCUGCCCUUUGUACACACCGCCCGUCGCACCUACCGAUUGAAUGGUCCGGUGAAGCCUCGGGAUUGUGGUUAGUUUCCUUCAUUGGAAGUUAGCCGCGAGAACUUGUCUAAACCUUAUCAUUUAGAGGAAGGUGAAGUCGUAACA